GGCUGGUACGAUGGUAGUGGGUUAUUAGAACUUGUUAACAUUAGCGUCACUAAAGUUAGUAUACAAUCCCCCACUGCUAAAUUUGACUGGCUUAAA
Molecule: Y RNA, 96 nt
Filed under: Propithecus coquereli (Coquerel's sifaka)
Lineage: Eukaryota; Metazoa; Chordata; Mammalia; Primates; Indriidae
Description: Y RNA (ENSPCOG00000000465.1)
Rfam family: Y RNA
About the family: Y RNAs are components of the Ro ribonucleoprotein particle (Ro RNP), in association with Ro60 and La proteins. The Y RNAs and Ro60 and La proteins are well conserved, but the function of the Ro RNP is not known.
Source: Rfam by way of RNAcentral